CGACGGUUGGUGCUAUGCCAACCGUGGCGUUAACGGAUAACAGAGAAUCUGGGUUCGAUUCUGGAGAGGCCGCAUGAGAAACGGCGACCACUUCCAAGGAAGGCAGCAGGCACGCAAAUUACCCACUUCGGACACCGAGAGGUAGUGACGAACAAUACCGAUGCGGCGCACUUACGUGUCGCCGUAAUCGGAAUGAGUACACUUCAAAUCCUUUAACGAGGAUCCACUGGAGGGCAAGCCUGGUGCCAGCAGCCGCGGUAAUUCCAGCUCCAGCAGCGUAUAUUUAUAUUGCUGCGUUUAAAAAGCUCGUAGUUGAAGCGUCAGACGCGGGAGGGCGGACGGCCGCACUGGUCGCUCUCGCCCGACCGAGCCAGGCGCAGAGGGCGCGCGUCGCUUGCACUUCACCGUGUGAGCGCGCCGCCGCUGCACGUUCACCUUGAAGAAAUUGAACCGCUUAGAGGGGGCGAGCAGCUUGAACAGCUCAGCAUGGUAUGAUGGAACAUGGGCUCGUACUCAUUUUGUUGGUUAGAGAGUCGGCGAGCCAAUGAUUAACAGGGACUGCCGGGGGCAUUAGUACUCGGACGGGAGAGGUGAAAUUCAAGGAUCGUCCGAAGACUUCCUACUGCGAAAGCAUUUGCCAAGAAUGUUUUCAUUAAUCAAGAACGAAAGUCAGAGGUGCGAAGGCGAUCAGAUACCGCCGUAGUUCUGACCGUAAACGUUGCCAACUGGCAAUUGGGCGCACUUCUGUCGAAGUUGCCGCCAGCAGUAUUUCCCGGGAAACCAAAGUCAUUGGGUUCCGGGGGGAGUAUGGUUGCAAAGCUGAAACUUAAAGGAAUUGACGGAAGGGCACCACCAGGAGUGGAGCCUGCGGCUUAAUUUGACUCAACACGGGAAACCUCACCCGGCCCGAACACUGUUAUGACAGACAGGUUGAGAGCUCUUUCUCGAUUCAGUGGUUGGUGGUGCAUGGCCGUUCUUAGUUCGUGGAGCGAUCUGUCUGGUUAAUUCCGAUAACGAACGAGAUUCUUGCCUGCUAAAUAGACGGCGUCGACUUUGCGCGACGACCGUUCGCUUCUUAGAGGGACAAGCGGCUUUUAGCCGCGUGAAGCUGAGAGCAAUAACAGGUCAGUGAUGCCCUCAGAUGUUCGGGGCCGCACGCGCGCUACACUGUUUGCAUCAGCGUGUUUCUCCCGCGCCGAUCGGCGCGGGCAACCCGUUGAACCGCAAACGUGCUAGGGAUCGGAGAUUGCAAUUGUUCUCCGUGAACGAGGAAUUCCUUGUACUGGCGAGUCAUCAGCUCGCGGGGAAUCUGUCCCUGCCCUUUGUACACACCGCCCGUCGCUACUACCGAUUGAGUGGUUUAGUGAGGCUCAC
RNAcentral lists this ribosomal RNA (1374 nucleotides) under Micropora sp. n. 1 RJO-2020. Its description in RNAcentral is "SSU rRNA". It matches the Rfam family "Eukaryotic small subunit ribosomal RNA", at positions 323 to 1711 of the family's 1831-position model. The record is from RNAcentral. Lineage: Eukaryota; Metazoa; Bryozoa; Gymnolaemata; Cheilostomatida; Microporidae.